Molecule: long non-coding RNA, 361 nt
Filed under: Gallus gallus (chicken)
Lineage: Eukaryota; Metazoa; Chordata; Aves; Galliformes; Phasianidae
Description: long non-coding RNA NONGGAT009332
Source: RNAcentral
GAACUUUCCUAAGCUAAUCCCUAACCUGAAAGUGUGGAUGAGAAGGGAAGAAAUCGUGAGGAAUAUAAUUUCCUAGUGGUAAUUAUUUCCCACCGACUCAGACGGAAGGACAGCGUGGAUGCCUGACAAAUACUGGUAAGGAGAGUAUGCCAAGUCAAGCAGAUGAGUCAGCACAGGCAACAUAAAGGCAGUGAUAUCCAGAAGUGCAGCUGGGAGGCUCAGAAAGAUAAAACAAAGUGAAAAUUUGGAAAAGCAUUUACUGUGCAAUGUGACCGUGUGUUCAGAGCUGACAUUACCAACAUCUGAUACUGAGGAAAGUGUCCUCCGAGGUGGACGCAUCUUUUUAGGGUGGAUGCAUCCA